UUUCAGAAAUGUUUACCUGAUCAAGAUUGUCAUUGAAAAUACAUUCAUAUCUCUUCAUGCAUCCAGGUCAUUUCACUGAAUGCAACUCUACCUGGAUGACUGAGUGGUGUGGACUCUUCAUUUCAAACCCUGGCCCUGGCAUAAAGUCCAUUACUGUCUCUUCAGGAAUCCUAACCCUAUUUCAGAAUUCACCUUGCCUGCAUGCCCCACAAGAAACUCCAAAGAAGCUGACUUAACACACAGCUCCAAGGAAAGGUCCUGAAUGGUCUAAUUCCAUCAUGGUUCGCCAUUAUUCUCACCUGUGGUUGGUUAGAAUCUUAUUCAGCCAGUCAGUACGUAAUUACCAGUGUCCUCCCUGAGAGUUAUUGUCCAUCAGAGAGAUUUUUGAGAGAACCUCUGUCUUCUCUUGCUCCUCAUU
RNAcentral lists this long non-coding RNA (418 nucleotides) under Felis catus (domestic cat). RNAcentral describes it as "lncRNA (ENSFCAG00000048285.1)". The record is from RNAcentral. Lineage: Eukaryota; Metazoa; Chordata; Mammalia; Carnivora; Felidae.